AUUGAACGCUGGCGGCAGGCUUAACACAUGCAAGUCGAGCGGGGAGAUGUAGCUUGCUACAUAUCCUAGCGGCGGACGGGUGAGUAAUGCUUAGGAAUCUGCCUAUUAGUGGGGGACAACAUUCCGAAAGGAAUGCUAAUACCGCAUACGCCCUACGGGGGAAAGCAGGGGAUCUUCGGACCUUGCGCUAAUAGAUGAGCCUAAGUCGGAUUAGCUAGUUGGUGGGGUAAAGGCCUACCAAGGCGACGAUCUGUAGCGGGUCUGAGAGGAUGAUCCGCCACACUGGGACUGAGACACGGCCCAGACUCCUACGGGAGGCAGCAGUGGGGAAUAUUGGACAAUGGGCGCAAGCCUGAUCUAGCCAUGCCGCGUGUGUGAAGAAGGCCUUUUGGUUGUAAAGCACUUUAAGCGAGGAGGAGGCUCCUUUAGUUAAUACCUAAAGAGAGUGGACGUUACUCGCAGAAUAAGCACCGGCUAACUCUGUG
Molecule: ribosomal RNA, 485 nt
Filed under: uncultured bacterium
Lineage: Bacteria
Description: partial 16S ribosomal RNA
Rfam family: Bacterial small subunit ribosomal RNA
Source: RNAcentral